GAGAGAGAGAGGUGGGCUGUUCUGGUGUGAAUGCUGCGGUGUAUGAGGAAAGAGAAGGUGACGUUUUCUGGUUGCUCCAAAAUACAACCGAAAAGAGAGAAGUGAAGCGACCAUUAUUCUUCGGUCUCAACGUACAAAACGAAAAGCUGCGAUCAGGCCUGCAAUGCAACGACAACGAGGGUGUAUUAUUAUUAUGCAUAUGGUGAAAUACUACUGCGGGAGUGUUCGAGAAUCGAGACACUGUGCGCGAGAGUAAAAAGAGACUGACGUGACGGGAUUUUCGGCCCGGUAACAAGUUCUUCUCCAUUGGG
Molecule: long non-coding RNA, 311 nt
Organism: Scleropages formosus (Asian bonytongue)
Lineage: Eukaryota; Metazoa; Chordata; Actinopteri; Osteoglossiformes; Osteoglossidae
Exons: 3
Source: RefSeq, a predicted model, not a curated record